RNAcentral lists this ribosomal RNA (253 nucleotides) under uncultured bacterium. RNAcentral describes it as "partial 16S ribosomal RNA". It matches the Rfam family "Bacterial small subunit ribosomal RNA", at positions 524 to 776 of the family's 1533-position model. The record is from RNAcentral.
UACAGAGGUGGCAAGCGUUGUUCGGAAUUACUGGGCGUAAAGGGCGCGUAGGCGGCCCGUCAAGUCCCGUGUGAAAGCCCCCGGCUCAACCGGGGAACUGCACGGGAAACUAGCAGGCUUGAGUUCGGGAGAGGGAAGCGGAAUUUCGGGUGUAGCGGUGAAAUGCGCGGAUAUCCGAAGGAACACCGGUGGCGAAGGCGGCUUCCUGGACCGACACUGACGCUGAGGCGCGAAAGCUAGGGGAGCAAACGGG